RNAcentral lists this small nuclear RNA (107 nucleotides) under Bos grunniens (domestic yak). Lineage: Eukaryota; Metazoa; Chordata; Mammalia; Artiodactyla; Bovidae. The record is from RNAcentral.
GUGCUCGCUUUGGCAGCACAUAUACUAAAAUUUGAACGAUAGAGAGAAGAUUAGCAUGGCCCCUGCACAAGGAUGACAUGCAAAUUCGUGAAGCGUUCCAUAUUUUU